CUUCGGGGUCAGCGGCAGACGGGUGAGUAACGCGUGGGAACGUGCCCUUCGGUUCGGAAUAACUCAGGGAAACUUGAGCUAAUACCGGAUACGCCCUUAUGGGGAAAGGCUUGACUGCCGAAGGAUCGGCCCGCGUCUGAUUAGCUAGUUGGUGAGGUCACGGCUCACCGAGGCGACGAUCAGUAGCUGGUCUGAGAGGAUGAUCAGCCACACUGGGACUGAGACACGGCCCAGACUCCUACGGGAGGCAGCAGUGGGGAAUAUUGGACAAUGGGGGCAACCCUGAUCCAGCCAUGCCGCGUGAGUGAUGACGGCCUUAGGGUUGUAAAGCUCUUUUCUCCGGGACGAUAAUGACGGUACCGGAGGAAUAAGCCCCGGCUAACUUCGUGCCAGCAGCCGCGGUAAUACGAAGGGGGCUAGCGUUGCUCGGAAUCACUGGGCGUAAAGGGCGCGUAGGCGGCUGAUUUAGUCGAGGGUGAAAGCCUGUGGCUCAACCACAGAAUUGCCUUCGAUACUGGUUGGCUUGAGACCGGAAGAGGACAGCGGAACUGCGAGUGUAGAGGUGAAAUUCGUAGAUAUUCGCAAGAACACCAGUGGCGAAGGCGGCUGUCUGGUCCGGUUCUGACGCUGAGGCGCGAAAGCGUGGGGAGCGAACAGGAUUAGAUACCCUGGUAGUCCACGCUGUAAACGAUGAAUGCUAGCCGUUGGUCUGCAUGCAGGUCAGUGGCGCCGCU
Molecule: ribosomal RNA, 734 nt
Filed under: uncultured bacterium
Lineage: Bacteria
Description: SSU rRNA
Rfam family: Bacterial small subunit ribosomal RNA
Source: RNAcentral